AAGCGAGUGGCGAACGGCUGAGUAACACGUGGAGAACCUCGCCCCCUCCCCCCGGGAUAGCCGCCCGAAAGGACGGGUAAUACCGGAUACCCCCGGGCGCCGCAUGGCGCCCGGGCUAAAGCCCCGACGGGAGGGGAUGGCUCCGCGGCCCAUCAGGUAGACGGCGGGGUGACGGCCCACCGUGCCGACAACGGGUAGCCGGGUUGAGAGACCGACCGGCCAGAUUGGGACUGAGACACGGCCCAGACUCCUACGGGAGGCAGCAUG
This 267-nucleotide ribosomal RNA is filed under the name uncultured bacterium. RNAcentral's name for it is "partial 16S ribosomal RNA". It matches the Rfam family "Bacterial small subunit ribosomal RNA", at positions 89 to 353 of the family's 1533-position model. The record is from RNAcentral.